UAACCUUUUGGUUAUAAAUAAUUGUUAGUGGCAGACGGGUGAGUAAUGCGUAGGAAUCUACCUAGUAGUAUGGAAUAGCCAUUAGAAAUGAUGGGUAAUACUGUAUAAUCCCUGCGGGGGAAAGAUUUAUCGCUAUUAGAUGAGCCUACGUUAGAUUAGCUAGUUGGUAAGGUAAUGGCUUACCAAGGCUAUGAUCUAUAGCUGGUCUGAGAGGACGAUCAGCCACACUGGAACUGAGAUACGGUCCAGACUCCUACGGGAGGCAGCAGUGGGGAAUAUUGGACAAUGGGCGAAAGCCUGAUCCAGCUAUGCCGCGUGAGUGAAGAAGGCCUUCGGGUUGUAAAACUCUUUCAAUAGGGAAGAUAAUGACGGUACCUAUAGAAGAAGCCG
Molecule: ribosomal RNA, 390 nt
Filed under: uncultured Ehrlichia sp.
Lineage: Bacteria; Pseudomonadati; Pseudomonadota; Alphaproteobacteria; Rickettsiales; Anaplasmataceae
Description: bacterial SSU rRNA
Rfam family: Bacterial small subunit ribosomal RNA
Source: RNAcentral